This 436-nucleotide long non-coding RNA is filed under the name Equus asinus (donkey). Its description in RNAcentral is "lncRNA (ENSEASG00005029355.1)". Lineage: Eukaryota; Metazoa; Chordata; Mammalia; Perissodactyla; Equidae. The record is from RNAcentral.
CUCCGUGAAUGUAGAUUCCCAUCGUUGGCUGUUAUCGUUAGAUCCCUCGCAUAUAGUUGGAGCGAAUUAAUAUUUACCGAAUGAAUUAAUCAAUGGAAAAAGAGUUCCCAAGGUUUCACAGACACUGAGCGGAGAAGCCCGAAUUAUGAUCCCGGUCUCCUGACCCUAGCCAGGGCUUUUAAUUUGCCAUGGCGGUUCUGACUGCGGGAUCCCAGCAGCAGCCUUUUGCAUGGGUCGCUCCAGUUAGGUAAAUCAACUCAGGUGAUGUGUGUUGCAAAAAUUAAAGCAAUGCCAGCAUGUAAAAAUAAAAGUGGAAUUCCUUUCCAUUGCAUCUCCCCUUUCUCAUGUUCCAGAGGAACAUCUUUCUGCUUAAGAAUUUCAAUCAUCAAAGUUGUAAAAUAACUACUGAGAAACCAAUACAUUUUCUUCAAUGGAA